GCUAACACCUGCUCUCGUACGAUCACCGACGUUAAGCAACGCCGAGCCUGAUCAGUACCUAGAUGAGAGACCACUUGGAAAUAUCACGUGCUGUU
Molecule: non-coding RNA, 95 nt
Organism: Acanthosepion pharaonis
Lineage: Eukaryota; Metazoa; Mollusca; Cephalopoda; Sepiida; Sepiidae
Source: the annotation of a GenBank genome assembly